Molecule: long non-coding RNA, 954 nt
Filed under: Felis catus (domestic cat)
Lineage: Eukaryota; Metazoa; Chordata; Mammalia; Carnivora; Felidae
Description: lncRNA (ENSFCAG00000043546.2)
Source: RNAcentral
GGAUGUAGUGCUUGUGUGUGUUUUCACUGCUUUGCUCUCAUCACCUAGAAGAGUCCUUGGCACAUGGCAGGAACUCAAUAAAUAUCUUUGAAACAAAGGAGGAAUGGAUGGAUAGAUGAUUCAGUUGAGGGACUUUUUCCUACUGGACCCAGAUGCUACCUCAGAAUCCUCCUCCAUGCACACCAACCCCGGGCAGCCAUGACCAAUCAGUAUUGGCAUUCUAGCUGACGCCCGUUCACCACAGCUGCAAAGAAAUACUUCUCUCCAUUGCCUCUGCAGGGCAUAUUUCUCCUGAAAGAGAAUCUUAAAUACAUUCGCUGUGGUGGAUUUUCUCUCAAGAUGGUUGCUAGAAUACAAAAAGUGUACUUUGAACAGCCACUAUUGGAGACGAGAAAGCCACUUCUCAAGCUCCACCCCACCAUCACCCCAAAACUUCAUCACUAGGAAAUGUUAAAGGAUGAGAACAGAAUGUGGGAAACACCCAGGCCAUUGUGGUACAGGUAGGUGGGGCUGAGCCCCCUUUAAACCUUUCUUGUGAGUGCCCCCCACCAACCCAACGAAGAACCUUCCACAAAAUUGAAGACUGUACCUCGUGCCAUCAGAGUUGACUCACAAGGCUCUUUGAACAGCACAGCAUGAGGAAUGGGACUUACAAUUACUGGACUGGCAAAGGCUGCUGCUAAUUACCUGUUAGGUGUGACCUUGGAGUAUAGCUGGGGCCAGUGCCAGUCCCAUAAUUUCUGGAAGUAGGUUUUGGCAGAGACUUGUUCUUUCUGAAUCUCCUUGGGCUGUGCAGUCUCUGCUUGGAGAAGCAUUGGGGUUUGGUGGAAAGGACUUUCACUAUAUAUUUCCUUGAAUGGGUAGGUUUAGGGAGCUAGAGAGGAGAAAAGCAUCUAUAUUGAUGGGGAAGACCUUUCAUUAUGGAGUCAAGGCUAUUCAAACAAAAAAUUUUUA